RNAcentral lists this ribosomal RNA (484 nucleotides) under uncultured bacterium. Its description in RNAcentral is "partial 16S ribosomal RNA". It matches the Rfam family "Bacterial small subunit ribosomal RNA", at positions 30 to 507 of the family's 1533-position model. The record is from RNAcentral.
AUUGAACGCUGGCGGCAGGCCUAACACAUGCAAGUCGAGCGGAUGAAGGGGGCUUGCUCCUGGAUUCAGCGGCGGACGGGUGAGUAAUGCCUAGGAAUCUGCCUGGUCGUGGGGGAUAACGUCCGGAAACGGGCGCUAAUACCGCAUACGUCCUGAGGGAGAAAGUGGGGGAUCUUCGGACCUCACGCUAUCAGCUGAGCCUAGGUCGGAUUAGCUAGUUGGUGGGGUAAAGGCCUACCAAGGCGACGAUCCGUAACUGGUCUGAGAGGAUGAUCAGUCACACUGGAACUGAGACACGGUCCAGACUCCUACGGGAGGCAGCAGUGGGGAAUAUUGGACAAUGGGCGAAAGCCUGAUCCAGCCAUGCCGCGUGUGUGAAGAAGGUCUUCGGAUUGUAAAGCACUUUAAGUUGGGAGGAAGGGCAGUAAGUUUAUACCUUGCUGUUUUGACGUUACCAACAGAAUAAGCACCGGCUAACUUCGUG